CUUGAAGAGAGCAUGGAAGCUUCUGGCGCUUUCCCCCCUACCUUGUCCUAUGCAUCUGUUCCAUCUGGCCGUUCCUGAGUUACAUCUUUUCACAAUAUACUGGUGAUCUAGACACUGGGGAAGGCAGAAACACGGUAGUGAGAUCCCAGUCAAGUCCUUUGUCCAUUCUGACCACGGCGUCCUCAUCUUUAAAAAGAGAGAUGGAGUCUUGCACAGGUAUACAUCAGAUAUUCCAUCACAAAAGUCCCUACCACUCUGACCCCAGAUCCCAGAAGAAAAAAAGAAAAAGAAAGAAAGAAAUCAAGACCCCAAAGUAGAAGAAGAAGACCACACUGAAGUUGGACCAAAAAGACCAGUCCUCAUCCAGUCAACAAGAAGCCCAGAUUCCUCUAGGGAAACCCCAAUACACUGUAAGUGAAUACCAAGAGACAGAUGACAAGAGUUCAGGACUUCAUAUUUUGAUGCUUUUUAGAUAUUUAGUUUUUAAGACAAAAUUGGAAGAUAGUUAAAGUUCAACUAAUUCUUUGAAAAAUAAAGUUAGACAACGGCUUUUCAGUCACUCGGCAUUUAUGGAGCACAGUAUGAGCCAGGGACUGGAGACUGAGUGACAGACAAGGUUCUUGUCCUUGUGGUACUCACAGCCACACUUUAGAGGCCUCUAAUUCACAUGUGAUGAGUGUUGUUACAAAAGGGGAUGUAGGUGGCACGGAAGUACUCAAUAGGUUAUAUCUUGAACUAAGGAGAUAAGGAGGGCCGGCCUGAGGAAAUAACUUUUAGAGUGAGACCCUUAAAUGAGAAGUAAAGGAAAGGUAGGAGUUAGGUGGCAAAGAAGUCAUUGAGUGAGAAAGUGUUUCAAGCGUUAAUAAUGGCCUAUAGAAGCAAGGAUAUAGCAUGUCUUAGGAACUGUUUUAGUUAGUUUAGACUGCUUGAACAACAAACAUUUAUUUCUCACAGUGCUGGAGGGUGGAAAGUCCAAGAUCAAAGGGCCAACAGAUUCAAUGUCUGGUGAAAACUUUUCCCGGUUUGCAGAUGGUCACCUUCUUCCUAUAGCCUCACAUGUUAGAAAGAAAGAGCUACUUCCAUCAUGGGAGCAACACCCUCAUGAUCUAAUCACCUCCCAAAGUUCCCAUCUCCAAAUUGUACCACACUGGGAGUUAGGUUUCAACAAAAUAAUUUGGGAAUA
This is a long non-coding RNA of Myotis daubentonii (Daubenton's bat), 1183 nucleotides long. RefSeq lists it as uncharacterized. The record is from RefSeq and is a predicted model, not a curated record. Lineage: Eukaryota; Metazoa; Chordata; Mammalia; Chiroptera; Vespertilionidae.